Molecule: ribosomal RNA, 305 nt
Filed under: uncultured bacterium
Lineage: Bacteria
Description: bacterial SSU rRNA
Source: RNAcentral
UCCUCCUUUUUUCAUCAUUAUUUAAUCUUCUUCAAUUUUCUAAAUCCUUACCUAUCAACUCCUCUUUAAUUAAUAAUUCCUUCUGUUUUUAAAAUUCUUUUAUAAUUUAAUAAAUUUUAUAUUAGGAAAUGACUAUCAAUUGACGGUACCUUAUGAGAAAGCCACUGCUAACUACUUGCCAGCAGCCGCGGUAAUACUUAGGUGGCAAUCUUUAUCCUGAAUUAUUGGGCGUAAAUAUCUCGCAUUUUUUUAAUUAAUUCUUAUUUUAAAGCCCACUUCUUAACCUUUUAUGGUCAUUGGAAACU